RNAcentral lists this ribosomal RNA (450 nucleotides) under uncultured bacterium. RNAcentral's name for it is "bacterial SSU rRNA". It matches the Rfam family "Bacterial small subunit ribosomal RNA", at positions 354 to 796 of the family's 1533-position model. The record is from RNAcentral.
GUGGGGAAUAUUGGACAAUGGGCGAAAGCCUGAUCCAGCCAUGCCGCGUGUGUGAAGAAGGUCUUCGGAUUGUAAAGCACUUUAAGUUGGGAGGAAGGGCAGUAAGUUAAUACCUUGCUGUUUUGACGUUACCGACAGAAUAAGCACCGGCUAACUUCGUGCCAGCAGCCGCGGUAAUACGAAGGGUGCAAGCGUUAAUCGGAAUUACUGGGCGUAAAGCGCGCGUAGGUGGUUUUGUAAGUUGGAGGUGAAAUCCCCGGGCUCAACCUGGGAACUGCCUCCAAAACUGCAUGACUAGAGUACGGUAGAGGGUAGUGGAAUUUCCUGUAUAGCGGUGAAAUGCGUAGAUAUAGGAAGGAACACCAGUGGCGAAGGCGACUACCUGGACUGAUACUGACACUGAGGUGCGAAAGCGUGGGGAGCAAACAGGAUUAGAAACCCCUGUAGUCC